This 1307-nucleotide long non-coding RNA is filed under the name Bos indicus x Bos taurus (hybrid cattle). RNAcentral describes it as "lncRNA (ENSBIXG00005004423.1)". Lineage: Eukaryota; Metazoa; Chordata; Mammalia; Artiodactyla; Bovidae. The record is from RNAcentral.
GUUCCCAGCGGCUCUCUGUUUCAUAUGUGAUAAAGUGUAUUUUUCAACGUUACUCGUGGACUCUUCCCUCCCUCUCCUCCCCGGCCUGUUCCCUCUGUCUGCGUCUCCUCGGCUGCCCUGCAAAGAGGUUCUUCAAUACCAUCUUUGUAGAGUCCACACACACGCCUUAACAUACAUUUGUUUUUUCUCUUCCUGACUUCACUCUGUAAAAUAAGCGCCAGGCUCUUCUACUUUAUUCUCUUUCUAGUUCAUCCUGCCUUCCUGGUUCGGACCACGCUCCGCGAGCUGCGGGAGUUCCAAUCUUCCCCGCGCGUCCGGGGGCGGCGGCUCCCGGCUCUGCAGCUCGCAGGUUUCAAAAGGCAUCAGUUGAUUUGUUCUCGUCACCACCAGACAAGACCUCGGGUGGGGACCACCAGGGAACACCCCAGGAAUCGCCAUCUUCCCGGGUUCCAGGUGUCCAGUGCUGCCCACAUUGGUCUGGGAUGGGGGCAUCAAGGAAAGGGAGAUUUGAAAGCUCUGGACUGAAUCUUGAAAACAAACAGAAAACAUUGAAAAAUUUGUUGAGAUAAUGAGCCACUUCAUUCAAGGCAGUGCAAUGGCACACACAAGUAAAAGUGUUAGUUGCUUCAGUCAUGUGCAACUCUUUGCAACCCUAUGGACUGUAGCCCAUCAGGCUCCUCUGUUCAUGGGAUUCUUCAGGCAAGAACACUGGAUUGCCAUGCCCUCCUCCAGGGGAUCUUCCUGACUCAGGGAUCGAUCAGGGGCGUCUUACUUCUCGGGCAUUGGCUGCAGGUUCUCUGCCACUAGGCACCUGGGAAGCCCCAUGGACCACCCUCUCUCAGGCAAGGCUCCAUUUUUCGCCAGCUCCCAGGCUGGGACACAGGGAGAGAGGCAGGAGGCCUACACCUCACGUUCUGAAAACUCAAGAUGUGAUGAAAGUCGGCAUGGAGGACCUGUGAUUUGCUCUCCCCUUUCUGUUAACCUGUGCCAAGAGAGCCACUGAGGAGGAGCUUCAUCCCCCAAAUCUUUGUGCUUUUGGGUGGAAGGAUGCAUUUUGAUAAGGGACUCUGAAAAAGUCAAUGAUGAUCAAAGAAAGGAAAAAACAACAACAACAACAACAGUGGAUUAAUGUCAGGCAGAACAAACUUUGCGUGAUUUAUGUCAAUGUGUGUAAGAGUGGAUUUGAUGUGUCAAUAUAGCAGCUCUGGUACAUAAAUGCCGGGUGAGAUGGUGCUAUGAAGGUAUUCUUUAGAUAUUAUUAACAUUUAGAUCAGCAGACUCUGAAUAAAGCAGUGGAGUACCCUCCA